GAUGAAGAACGUAGCGAAAUGCGAUAAGUAAUGUGAAUUGCAGAAUUCAGUGAAUCAUCGAAUCUUUGAACGCACAUUGCGCCCUCUGGUAUUCCGGGGGGCAUGCCUGUUCGAGCGUCAUUAUAACCACUCAAGCUCUCGCUUGGUAUUGGGGUUCGCGGUUCCGCGGCCCCUAAAAUCAGUGGCGGUGCCUGUCGGCUCUACGCGUAGUAAUACUCCUCGCGAUUGAGUCCGGUAGGUCUACUUGCCAGCAACCCCCAAUUAUUACAGGUUGACCUCGGAUCAGGUAGGGAUACCCGCUGAACUUAAGCAUAUCAAUAAGCGGAGGA
RNAcentral lists this unclassified non-coding RNA (329 nucleotides) under soil metagenome. Its description in RNAcentral is "partial contains 5.8S ribosomal RNA, internal transcribed spacer 2, and large subunit ribosomal RNA". The stretch from base 1 to 120 matches the Rfam family "5.8S ribosomal RNA", at positions 35 to 154 of the family's 154-position model. The record is from RNAcentral.